Molecule: long non-coding RNA, 618 nt
Organism: Balaenoptera acutorostrata (minke whale)
Lineage: Eukaryota; Metazoa; Chordata; Mammalia; Artiodactyla; Balaenopteridae
Exons: 4
Source: RefSeq, a predicted model, not a curated record
CUACAGUAAGAGGGUGGUAACUAAGGCAUCCUUGUCAAUGGGGAAAAAAACCCUUUCAGAAAGAUAAUGCAGAUGCUCAAGUUCAAGUUCUCAUCACUGGGGAUGAGGACCUCUCAGACAAAAACCAGAAAAAGGAGAUCUACAGUAAAAGGGCAGUGACCGAGGCUGCUCGAUCUGAAGAAAAAGAAUCCUUGCAGAAAGACACUACAGGUUCCAGUGCUGCUGCUGCUUCAGAGCAGUCAGCUCAACUACAAGACACGAAGAUUGAUAAUCUACCAGACACUAAAGCCAUUAAACAGAAAGGGGAGAUCCACAGUAAGAGGACAGUUCCUAAGGAAGCCUGGCCCGAAGAGGAGAAAUCCUUGCAAAUAGAUAUUGCAGAGUCCAGAUGUCAUUCAGAAUUUGAAAAUACCACCCAUUCUGUCUUCAGGUCAGCUAAGUUUUACUUUCAUCAUCCAGUGCACCUACCAAGUGAUCAAGAUUUUUGCCAUGAAUCCUUAGGAAGAAGAGUUUUCCUGAGGCAUUCUUGGAAAGAUUCCUUUCAGCAUCAUCCAGACAAACAAAGAGAACACACUUGUCUUCCUUCCUCUUAUCAAAAUGUGGCAAAGACAAAGUCAG